UGCGGUUUAAUCGGACUCAACGCCGGGAAACUCACCAGAUAAGACAGCUGAAUGAUAGUCGGGCUGAAGACUCUACUUGACUAGCUGAGAGGAGGUGCAUGGCCGUCGUCAGUUCGUACUGUGAAGCAUCCUGUUAAGUCAGGCAACGAGCGAGACCCACGCCAACAGUUGCCAGCUCGUCCUCCGGGAUGGAGGGGACACUGUUGGGACCGCCUCUGCUAAAGAGGAGGAAGGAAUGGGCAACGGUAGGUCAGCAUGCCCCGAAUUAUCUGGGCUACACGCGGGCUACAAUGGGUGGGACAAUGGGUAUCGACACCGAAAGGUGAAGGCAAUCUCCUAAACCCAUCCUUAGUUCGGAUUGUGGGCUGCAACUCGCCCACAUGAAGCUGGAAUCUGUAGUAAUCGUGUCUCAAAAUGGCACGGUGAAUAUGUCCCUGCUCCUU
This 443-nucleotide ribosomal RNA is filed under the name uncultured Methanomicrobiales archaeon. Its description in RNAcentral is "bacterial SSU rRNA". It matches the Rfam family "Archaeal small subunit ribosomal RNA", at positions 896 to 1338 of the family's 1478-position model. The record is from RNAcentral. Lineage: Archaea; Methanobacteriati; Methanobacteriota; Methanomicrobia; Methanomicrobiales.